GGAGGGGUGGGCGAGCGGUCUAAACCACCGGUCUGGAGAACCGGUGCAUCCCUAAAGGGUGCCGUGGGUUCAAAUCCCACCCCCUCCGCCA
Molecule: transfer RNA, 91 nt
Filed under: Candidatus Bipolaricaulota bacterium
Lineage: Bacteria; Candidatus Bipolaricaulota
Description: tRNA-Ser
Rfam family: tRNA
About the family: Transfer RNA (tRNA) molecules are approximately 80 nucleotides in length. Their secondary structure includes four short double-helical elements and three loops (D, anti-codon, and T loops). Further hydrogen bonds mediate the characteristic L-shaped molecular structure. tRNAs have two regions of fundamental functional importance: the anti-codon, which is responsible for specific mRNA codon recognition, and the 3' end, to which the tRNAs corresponding amino acid is attached (by aminoacyl-tRNA synthetases). tRNAs cope with the degeneracy of the genetic code in two manners: having more than one tRNA (with a specific anti-codon) for a particular amino acid; and 'wobble' base-pairing, i.e. permitting non-standard base-pairing at the 3rd anti-codon position.
Source: RNAcentral